AUACGUAGGGAGCGAGCGUUGUCCGGAAUUACUGGGUGUAAAGGGUGCGUAGGCGGGACUGCAAGUCAGAUGUGAAAUGCCGGGGCUCGACCCCGGAUCUGCAUUUGAAACUGUGGUUCUUGAGUGAGGUAGAGGUAAGCGGAAUUCCUAGUGUAGCGGUGAAAUGCGUAGAUAUUAGGAGGAACAUCGGUGGCGAAGGCGGCUUACUGGGCCUUUACUGACGCUGAGGCACGAAAGCGUGGGGAGCAAACAGGAUUAGAUACCCUGGUAGUCCACGCUGUAAACGAUGAUGACUAGGUGUGGGGGGACUGAACCCUUCCGUGCCGCAGUUAACACAAUAAGUCAUCCACCUGGGGAGUACGGCCGCAAGGUUGAAACUCAAAUGAAUUGACGGGG
Molecule: ribosomal RNA, 396 nt
Filed under: uncultured bacterium
Lineage: Bacteria
Description: partial 16S ribosomal RNA
Rfam family: Bacterial small subunit ribosomal RNA
Source: RNAcentral